UACGAAGGUGGCAAGCGUUGUUCGGAAUUACUGGGCGUAAAGGGCUCGUAGGCGGCCAACUAAGUCGGAUGUGAAAUCCCCAGGCUCAACUUGGGAACUGCAUCCGAUACUGGAUGGCUUGAAUUCGGGAGAGGGAUGCAGAAUUCCAGGUGUAGCGGUGAAAUGCGUAGAUAUCUGGAGGAAUACCGGUGGCGAAGGCGGCAUCCUGGACCGACAUUGACGCUGAGGAGCGAAAGCUAGGGGAGCAAACGGG
RNAcentral lists this ribosomal RNA (253 nucleotides) under uncultured bacterium. Its description in RNAcentral is "partial 16S ribosomal RNA". It matches the Rfam family "Bacterial small subunit ribosomal RNA", at positions 524 to 776 of the family's 1533-position model. The record is from RNAcentral.